AUUCCAGCUCCAAUAGCGUAUAUUAAAGUUGUUGCAGUUAAAAAGCUCGUAGUUGGAUUUCUGGCGGGAGCGACCGGUCGGCGCUUAACGGCGUGUGCACUGGAGUUGUCUCUUGCCAUCCUUGAGGAGAACGUGUCUGGCAUUAAGUUGUCGGGCUUGGGAUCCUCAUCGUUUACUGUGAAAAAAUUAGAGUGUUUAAAGCAGGCAUUUGCUGUGAAUACAUUAGCAUGGAAUAAUAAGAUAGGACUUUGGUGCUAUUUUGUUGGUUUGCGUACCAAGGUAAUGAUUAAUAGGGAUAGUUGGGGGUAUUCGUAUUCAAUUGUCAGAGGUGAAAUUCUUGGAUUUAUGGAAGACGAACAACUGCGAAAGCAUUUACCAAGGAUGUUUUCAUUA
RNAcentral lists this ribosomal RNA (393 nucleotides) under Stramenopiles sp. MAST-10. RNAcentral describes it as "partial small subunit ribosomal RNA". It matches the Rfam family "Eukaryotic small subunit ribosomal RNA", at positions 582 to 975 of the family's 1831-position model. The record is from RNAcentral.